RNAcentral lists this ribosomal RNA (253 nucleotides) under uncultured bacterium. Its description in RNAcentral is "partial 16S ribosomal RNA". It matches the Rfam family "Bacterial small subunit ribosomal RNA", at positions 524 to 776 of the family's 1533-position model. The record is from RNAcentral.
UACGUAGGGUGCAAGCGUUAUCCGGAAUUAUUGGACGUAAAGAGCUCGUAGGCGGUUUGUCGCGUCUGCUGUGAAAACCUGAGGCUCAACCUCGGGCCUGCAGUGGGUACGGGCAGACUAGAGUGCGGUAGGGGAGAAUGGAAUUCCUGGUGUAGCGGUGGAAUGCGCAGAUAUCAGGAGGAACACCGAUGGCGAAGGCAGCUCGCUGGGACGUAACUGACGCUGAGACGCGAAAGCGUGGGGAGCAAACAGG